RNAcentral lists this ribosomal RNA (301 nucleotides) under uncultured bacterium. RNAcentral's name for it is "partial 16S ribosomal RNA". It matches the Rfam family "Bacterial small subunit ribosomal RNA", at positions 509 to 807 of the family's 1533-position model. The record is from RNAcentral.
CAGUCGCCGCGGUAAUACGGAGGGCGCGAGCGUUACCCGGAUUUACUGGGCGUAAAGGGCGUGUAGGCGGCCUGGGGCGUCCCAUGUGAAAGGCCACGGCUCAACCGUGGAGGAGCGUGGGAUACGCUCAGGCUAGAGGGUGGGAGAGGGUGGUGGAAUUCCCGGAGUAGCGGUGAAAUGCGCAGAUACCGGGAGGAACGCCGAUGGCGAAGGCAGCCACCUGGUCCACUUCUGACGCUGAGGCGCGAAAGCGUGGGGAGCAAACCGGAUUAGAUACACCCGUAGUCCCUGUCUCUUAUAC